UUUGUACUCCCUACGUCCCAAAAUACUUGUCUUAAAUUUGCCUAAAUACGGAUGUAUCUAGUUACAUUUUAGUGUUAGAUACAUCCGUAUCUAAACAAAUGUAAGACAAGAAUUUUGGGACGGAGGGAAUACUAC
Molecule: non-coding RNA, 135 nt
Organism: Triticum aestivum (bread wheat)
Lineage: Eukaryota; Viridiplantae; Streptophyta; Magnoliopsida; Poales; Poaceae
Source: Rfam